AGACACAUUUACUGGACGAUGACUGGGAACGCCUUGUUUUGUACUGGUCCCGAACCAAGAAUGUGAAUGCUGACAGAAUAUUGGGGAAGAGUGCCUUAUUAAGCAACGGUAAAGGAAGUAAUGCAGAUAAGGUUCAGGAUAGUGACACAUCCUGUCUUGGUUUAGUGUUGGAGUUAUUGGCCACUACCGCUUGCACAAGCUAUUCAAACU
This 210-nucleotide ribosomal RNA is filed under the name Triticum aestivum (bread wheat). RNAcentral describes it as "partial small subunit ribosomal RNA". The record is from RNAcentral. Lineage: Eukaryota; Viridiplantae; Streptophyta; Magnoliopsida; Poales; Poaceae.